CCUACGGGUGGCAGCAGUGAGGAAUAUUGGUCAAUGGGCGCGAGCCUGAACCAGCCAAGUCGCGUGAGGGAAGACGGUCCUAUGGAUUGUAAACCUCUUUUGCCGGGGAGCAAAAGACGCCACGCGUGGCGCUCCGAGAGUACCCGAAGAAAAGCAUCGGCUAACCCCGUGCCAGCAGCCGCCGUAAUACGGAGGAUGCGAGCGUUAUCCGGAUUUUUUGGGUUUAAAGGGUGCGCAGGCGGAAGAUCAAGUCAGCGGUAAAAUUGAGAGGCUCAACCUCUUCGAGCCGUUGAAACUGGUUUUCUUGAGUGAGUGAGAAGUAUGCGGAAUGCGUGGUGUAGCGGUGAAAUGCAUAGAUAUCACGCAGAACUCCGAUUGCGAAGGCAGCGUACCGGCGCUCAACUGACGCUCAUGCACGAAAGUGUGGGUAUCGAACAGGAUUAGAUACCCCUGUAGUC
RNAcentral lists this ribosomal RNA (458 nucleotides) under uncultured bacterium. Its description in RNAcentral is "partial 16S ribosomal RNA". It matches the Rfam family "Bacterial small subunit ribosomal RNA", at positions 338 to 795 of the family's 1533-position model. The record is from RNAcentral.